This 466-nucleotide ribosomal RNA is filed under the name uncultured bacterium. RNAcentral describes it as "partial 16S ribosomal RNA". It matches the Rfam family "Bacterial small subunit ribosomal RNA", at positions 28 to 507 of the family's 1533-position model. The record is from RNAcentral.
GAUGAACGCUGGCGGCGUGCUUAACACAUGCAAGUCGAACGAUGAGGCCCAGCUUGCUGGGUGGAUUAGUGGCGAACGGGUGAGUAACACGUGAGUAACCUGCCCUUAACUCUGGGAUAAGCCUGGGAAACUGGGUCUAAUACCGGAUAGGAGCGCCUACCGCAUGGUGGGUGUUGGAAAGAUUUAUCGGUUUUGGAUGGACUCGCGGCCUAUCAGCUUGUUGGGGAGGUAAUGGCUCACCAAGGCGACGACGGGUAGCCGGCCUGAGAGGGUGACCGGCCACACUGGGACUGAGACACGGCCCAGACUCCUACGGGAGGCAGCAGUGGGGAAUAUUGCACAAUGGGCGAAAGCCUGAUGCAGCGACGCCGCGUGAGGGAUGACGGCCUUCGGGUUGUAAACCUCUUUCAGUAGGGAAGAAGCGAAAGUGACGGUACCUGCAGAAGAAGCACCGGCUAACUACGUG